AACGGCCACACCAUGCUGAAUAUACCGGCUCUCGUUAGAUCACCGAAGUCAAGCAUUAUUGGGCCCGGUCAUUACUUGGGUGGGUGACCACCUGGGAACACCGCGUGCCGUU
This 112-nucleotide ribosomal RNA is filed under the name Caerostris darwini. Lineage: Eukaryota; Metazoa; Arthropoda; Arachnida; Araneae; Araneidae. The record is from RNAcentral.